This 440-nucleotide ribosomal RNA is filed under the name uncultured bacterium. Its description in RNAcentral is "partial 16S ribosomal RNA". It matches the Rfam family "Bacterial small subunit ribosomal RNA", at positions 338 to 795 of the family's 1533-position model. The record is from RNAcentral.
CCUACGGGAGGCUGUAGUGGGGGAUCUUGCACAAUGGGGGGAACCCUGAUGCAGCGACGCCGCGUGGGUGAAGAAGCGCCUCGGCGCGUAAAGCCCUGUCAGCAGGGAAGAAAAUGACGGUAACUGAAGAAGAAGCCCCGGCUAACUACGUGCCAGCAGCCGCGGUAAUACGUAGGGGGCAAGCGUUAGCCGGAUUUACUGGGUGAAAAGGGGGCGCAGACGGCGAUGCAAGCCAGGAGUGAAAGCACGGGGCCCAACCCCGGGACUGCGCUUGGAACUGGGUGGCUGGAGUGCAGGAGGGGCAGGCGGAAUUCCUUGUGUAGCGGUGAAAUGCGUAGAUAUCAGGAGGAACACCGGUGGCGAAGGCGGCCUGCUGGACUGCAACUGACGUUGAGGCCCGAAAGCGUGGGGAGCAAACAGGAUUAGAUACCCUGGUAGUC